RNAcentral lists this ribosomal RNA (1489 nucleotides) under uncultured prokaryote. Its description in RNAcentral is "partial 16S ribosomal RNA". It matches the Rfam family "Bacterial small subunit ribosomal RNA". The record is from RNAcentral.
AGAGUUUGAUCAUGGCUCAGAUUGAACGCUGGCGGCAUGCUUAAUACAUGCAAGUCGAACGGUAACAGGUUCUUCGGAAUGCUGACGAGUGGCGGACGGGUGAGUAAUGCAUAGGAAUCUGCCCAUGUAGUGGGGGAUAACUUGGGGAAACUCAAGCUAAUACCGCAUAUUUCCGAAAGCAGGGGAUCUUCGGACCUUGCGCUAUUGGAGAAGCCUGCGUCGGAUUAGCUAGUUGGUGGGGUAAAGGCCCACCAAGGCGACGAUCCGUAGCUGGUCUGAGAGGAUGAUCAGCCACACUGGGACUGAGACACGGCCCAGACUCCUACGGGAGGCAGCAGUGGGGAAUAUUGGACAAUGGGGGCAACCCUGAUCCAGCCAUGCCGCGUGUGUGAAGAAGGCCUUAGGGUUGUAAAGCACUUUCAGUAGGGAGGAAAAGUUAGUCGUUAAUAACGGCUAGCCGUGACGUUACCUACAGAAGAAGCACCGGCAAACUCCGUGCCAGCAGUUGCGGUAAUACGGAGGGUGCGAGCGUUAAUCGGAAUUACUGGGCGUAAAGCGCGCGUAGGCGGCCUGAUAAGUUGGAUGUGAAAGCCCUGGGCUCAACCUAGGAACUGCAUUCAAAACUGUCAGGCUAGAGUAUGGUAGAGGAUAGUGGAAUUUCCGGUGUAGCGGUGAAAUGCGUAGAGAUCGGAAGGAACAUCAGUGGCGAAGGCGGCUAUCUGGACCAAUACUGACGCUGAGGUGCGAAAGCGUGGGGAGCAAACAGGGAUUAGAUACCCUGGUAGUCCACGCCGUAAACGAUGUCAACUAGCCGUUGGGGGGCUUGUCCCCUUAGUGGCGCAGCUAACGCGAUAAGUUGACCGCCUGGGAGUACGGCCGCAAGGUUAAAACUCAAAUGAAUUGACGGGGGCCCGCACAAGCGGUGGAGCAUGUGGUUUAAUUCGAUGCAACGCGAAGAACCUUACCAGGUCUUGACAUCCCGAGAACUUACUAGAGAUAGUUUGGUGCCUUCGGGAACUGUGAGACAGGUGCUGCAUGGCUGUCGUCAGCUCGUGUUGUGAAAUGUUGGGUUAAGUCCCGUAACGAGCGCAACCCUUAUCCUUAUUUGCCAGCACUUCGGUUGGGUACUUUAAGGAGACUGCCGGUGACAAACCGGAGGAAGGCGGGGACGACGUCAAGUCAUCAUGGCCCUUACGAGUAGGGCUACACACGUGCUACAAUGGCUGGUACAAACGGUUGCAAUCCUGCGAGGGGGAGCUAAUCUGAGAAAGCCAGUCGUAGUCCGGAUCGGAGUCUGCAACUCGACUCCGUGAAGUCGGAAUCGCUAGUAAUCGUGAAUCAGAAUGUCACGGUGAAUACGUUCCCGGGCCUUGUACACACCGCCCGUCACACCACGGAAGUUGAUUGCACCAGAAGUGGGUAGCUUAAAAUGGGGCGCUCACCACGGUGUGGUUGAUGACUGGGGUGAAGUCGUAACAAGGUAGCCGUA